Molecule: ribosomal RNA, 211 nt
Filed under: uncultured bacterium
Lineage: Bacteria
Description: partial 16S ribosomal RNA
Rfam family: Bacterial small subunit ribosomal RNA
Source: RNAcentral
UACGGGGGGGGGCAAGCGUUGUUCGGAAUUACUGGGCGUAAAGGGCUCGUAGGCGGCCAACUAAGUCAUACGUGAAAUCCCUCGGCUUAACCGGGGAACUGCGUCUGAUACUGGAUGGCUUGAGUUCGGGAGAGGGAUGCGGAAUUCCAGGUGUAGCGGUGAAAUGCGUAGAUAUCUGGAGGAACACCGGUGGCGAAGGCGGCCAUCCUGG